AUGUGUGGCUGUAUGCACAGUACCCAGGACCAAGCACUCCACUUGGAAGGGGAGCCCAAUCCUUCUGCAGCCGCAACAUCUACUUUAGCACCUAGGACAAUGCCCAGAAGCAUUUCCAUAUCCAAACAACUGGCUUCAAUAAAAGCUCUAUGCAAGGGUUCAGAUCUGGAAAAAGCCAUCGCCACUGCCGCUAUGAUUUUCAGAAACUUUUCUGACCCUGAUGGUAAACUUGGGAAAGCUACUGCCAAAAAUCUACUGCAAACCCAAUUUAGGAAUUUCACAGAGGGACAAGAAACCAAACCAAGAUACAAAGACCUCCUUUCUGAACUCGACGAACAUACAGAAAAUAAGCUGGAUUUUGAGGAUUUCAUGAUCUUACUGUUAAGCAUCACUGUAAGGUCUUCUCUGCACUCGUUUCUCCCCUGCUCUGUGUCCAGGACAGCUGACCUGUGUGGAUGGCACUAACAGGCAACCUUGCCUUCUGGCUUCUUGUUGGAUUAGGCCAAUGACCUCCGAGGUGAUGGGAGGGUGGUGGAGUGUGAGACUUCUCCAUAGAGCCCCUCCUUCUGUUUCCGGUAGCUGCUCCAUCUCUUGCCCCUUCUGGUCUGGAGGUGGUCAUGGGUAGCUGUGGGGACCGUCCCAUCUCAUGCUGGUUCGCCUCAACCCUGCCAACAUCUAUAUUAAGAAGCAGAGGCUCAGAGAUGUUAAGUUACUUUCCCAGGUCACAGAGCUUCCGGCUGGACUUCGAUUUGAGCUCUGGCAGCAAGGGAAGAUGGACUGCUGGAGAGCCGGACUGGGAGGUCAGAUAGAAGACCCUGCAGUGAUGCAG
Molecule: RNA transcript, 829 nt
Organism: Balaenoptera acutorostrata (minke whale)
Lineage: Eukaryota; Metazoa; Chordata; Mammalia; Artiodactyla; Balaenopteridae
Gene: SNTN
Gene name: sentan, cilia apical structure protein
Exons: 7
Source: RefSeq, a predicted model, not a curated record